Molecule: ribosomal RNA, 523 nt
Filed under: uncultured bacterium
Lineage: Bacteria
Description: partial 16S ribosomal RNA
Rfam family: Bacterial small subunit ribosomal RNA
Source: RNAcentral
UGGGGAAUUUUGGACAAUGGGCGAAAGCCUGAUCCAGCAAUGCCGCGUGUGUGAAGAAGGCCUUCGGGUUGUAAAGCACUUUUGUCCGGAAAGAAAUCCUUGGCUCUAAUACAGUCGGGGGAUGACGGUACCGGAAGAAUAAGCACCGGCUAACUACGUGCCAGCAGCCGCGGUAAUACGUAGGGUGCAAGCGUUAAUCGGAAUUACUGGGCGUAAAGCGUGCGCAGGCGGUUUGCUAAGACCGAUGUGAAAUCCCCGGGCUCAACCUGGGAACUGCAUUGGUGACUGGCAGGCUAGAGUAUGGCAGAGGGGGGUAGAAUUCCACGUGUAGCAGUGAAAUGCGUAGAGAUGUGGAGGAAUACCGAUGGCGAAGGCAGCCCCCUGGGCCAAUACUGACGCUCAUGCACGAAAGCGUGGGGAGCAAAACAGGAUUAGAUACCCUGGUAGUCCACGCCCUAAACGAUGUCAACUAGUUGUUGGGGAUUCAUUUCCUUAGUAACGUAGCUAACGCGUGAAGUUGACC